CCUACGGGAGGCUGCAGUGAGGAAUAUUGGUCAAUGGGCGAGAGCCUGAACCAGCCAAGUCGCGUGAGGGAGUACUGCCCUAUGGGUUGUAAACCUCUUUUGUCGGGGAGCAAAAGCCGGACGUGUCCGGCUGUGAGAGUACCCGAAGAAAAAGCAUCGGCUAACGCCGUGCCAGCAGCCGCGGUAAUACGGAGGAUGCGAGCGUUAUCCGGAUUUAUUGGGUUUAAAGGGUGCGCAGGCGGAUUUUUAAGUCAGCGGUAAAAUCGUGGGGCUCAACCCCAUCCAGCCGUUGAAACUGGGGAUCUAGAGUGUGCGAGAGGUAUGCGGAAUGCGUGGUGUAGCGGUGAAAUGCAUAGAUAUCACGCAGAACCCCGAUUGCGAAGGCAGCAUACCGGUGCACAACUGACGCUCAGGCACGAAAGCGUGGGUAUCGAACAGGAUUAGAUACCCCUGUAGUC
RNAcentral lists this ribosomal RNA (458 nucleotides) under uncultured bacterium. RNAcentral describes it as "partial 16S ribosomal RNA". It matches the Rfam family "Bacterial small subunit ribosomal RNA", at positions 338 to 795 of the family's 1533-position model. The record is from RNAcentral.